This is a non-coding RNA of Dermochelys coriacea (leatherback sea turtle), 82 nucleotides long. The record is from the annotation of a RefSeq genome assembly. NCBI's taxonomy places the organism in Eukaryota, Metazoa, Chordata, Testudines, Dermochelyidae.
GCUGUGAUAGCCGAGUGGUUAAGACAUUGGAGUUGAAAUCCAACGGGGUUCCCCUGCGCAGGUUCGAAUCCUGCUUGCAGCG